GCCCGGCUAGCGCAAUGGUAGCGCGUAAGACUUCUAAUCUUAAGGCUGUGGGUUCGAGUCCCACGUCGGGCU
Molecule: transfer RNA, 72 nt
Filed under: Podospora anserina S mat+
Lineage: Eukaryota; Fungi; Ascomycota; Sordariomycetes; Sordariales; Podosporaceae
Description: tRNA-Arg (TCT) (tRNA-Arg-TCT-1-1)
Rfam family: tRNA
About the family: Transfer RNA (tRNA) molecules are approximately 80 nucleotides in length. Their secondary structure includes four short double-helical elements and three loops (D, anti-codon, and T loops). Further hydrogen bonds mediate the characteristic L-shaped molecular structure. tRNAs have two regions of fundamental functional importance: the anti-codon, which is responsible for specific mRNA codon recognition, and the 3' end, to which the tRNAs corresponding amino acid is attached (by aminoacyl-tRNA synthetases). tRNAs cope with the degeneracy of the genetic code in two manners: having more than one tRNA (with a specific anti-codon) for a particular amino acid; and 'wobble' base-pairing, i.e. permitting non-standard base-pairing at the 3rd anti-codon position.
Source: RNAcentral